UGAGUACGAGAUGCUACGGCAUCGAAGCAGUCUAUGUCAUACUUCCAAGAAAAGCUUGCACUGUCAGAAACAGAUAAUGCCUGUACCAUAACCGACACAGGUGGGUAGGUAGAGUAUACUAAGGGGCGCGAGAUAACUCUCUCUAAGGAACUCGGCAAAAUGACUCCGUAACUUCGGGAGAAGGAGUGCCUUAUUUUUAAGGUUGCAAUAACAAGAUCCAAGCAACUGUUUACCAAAAACACAGGUCUCCGCUAAGUCGUAAGACGAUGUAUGGGGGCUGACGCCUGCCCAGUGCCAGAAGGUUAAAGAAGUCGGUUAGCAUUCGCGAAGCUGGUAACUGAAGCCCUGGUGAACGGCGGCCGUAACUAUAACGGUCCUAAGGUAGCGAAAUUCCUUGUCGGGUAAGUUCCGACCCGCACGAAAGGCGUAAUGAUUUGGAUACUGUCUCGGAGAGGGGCUCGGUGAAAUAGACUUGUCUGUGAAGAUGCGGACUACCUGCACCUGGACAGAAAGACCCUAUGAAGCUUUACUGUAACUUGAAAUUGAAAUUGGACUUUAUUUGCGCAGUAUAGGUGGGAGGCGUUGAAAAUAUUCUUGCGGGAAUAUUGGAGCCAUCAGUGAGAUACCACUCUUGUAAUGUUAGAUUUCUAACUUUAUAUCAUUAUCUGGUUAAAGAACAGUUUCAGGCGGGCAGUUUGACUGGGGCGGUCGCCUCCCAAAUGGUAACGGAGGCGCACAAAGGUUUCCUCUGAACGGGUAGAAAUCGUAUCUAGAGUGUAAAGGCAUAAGGAAGCUUGACUGUGAGACCUACAAGUCGAGCAGGGACGAAAGUCGGUCUUAGUGAUCUGACGGUGCUGAGUGGAAAGGCCGUCACUCAACGGAUAAAAGUUACUCUAAGGAUAACAGGCUGAUCUCCCCCAAGAGUUCACAUCGACGGGGAGGUUUGGCACCUCGAUGUCGGCUCAUCGCAUCCUGGGGCGGUAGUACGUCCCAAGGGUUGGGCUGUUCGCCCAUGAAAGCGGUACGCGAGCUGGGUUCAGAACGUCGUGAGACAGUUCGGUCCAUAUCCGGUGUAGGCGUUAGAAUAUUGAGAGGAGCCUUCUUUAGUACGAGAGGACCGAGAAGGACAUACCUCUGGUGUACCAGUUAUCGUGCCAACGGUAAACGCUGGGUAGCUAUGUAUGGAGUGGAUAACCGCUGAAAGCAUCUAAGUGGGAAGCCCACCUCAAGAUAAGUAUUCUCA
This 1243-nucleotide ribosomal RNA is filed under the name metagenome. RNAcentral describes it as "bacterial LSU rRNA". It matches the Rfam family "Bacterial large subunit ribosomal RNA", at positions 1564 to 2816 of the family's 2925-position model. The record is from RNAcentral.